RNAcentral lists this ribosomal RNA (215 nucleotides) under uncultured bacterium. RNAcentral's name for it is "partial 16S ribosomal RNA". It matches the Rfam family "Bacterial small subunit ribosomal RNA", at positions 116 to 334 of the family's 1533-position model. The record is from RNAcentral.
UAUGGGGAUCUGCUCGAUAGAGGGGAAUAACUACUGGACACGGUGGCUAAUACCGCAUAAUGUCUACGGACCAAAGCAGGGGCUCUUCGGACCUUGCACUAUCGGAUGAACCCAUAUGGGAUUAGCUAGUAGGUGGGGUAAAGGCUCACCUAGGCGACGAUCUCUAGCUGGUCUGAGAGGAUGAUCAGCCACACUGGGACUGAGACACGGCCCAG